GUUAAAUGCAAUCGACCAGUAAUUAUAUAUAAUUAUUUUUUAGAUAUCGUUCUUUUCAUGUGUUUUUUCACGUAUAUAAAUAUCCCCUAUAUCAUAAGCCUUAAAUAUAAUUUUAAUAUUUUCACCAGAGUCAGCACCUGAACUCAACAAAACCUACCAACUUAUUAUUUUAAAGAGUGAAUUCUAUAACAAUGUCCAAGUUAACUGUUGUUCUAUUUUUGGUUACAUUGUUGGCGAUUGGCUCUUUUGCUUGCAUAGAACAUGGAAAAGAUUGUACUAUGGAUGGCGAACCAUGUUGCGGUCGCUAUUUUUGCAGAAAAAAUGAUUUUAAUUAUUUGACAUGUGGCUCGACCUCGGAGUCCUAUAAAGUACAGGAUUAUGGAGGUGACAUGUUUGGCUAAGUCUACUUUUCAAUUUUUUUAUUUCAGAUAUAAUAAUAUUUAUUAAUAUUGUAACGGUUAUCAUCUGAAUAAAAAUAAUUCCCACCAUAAAUAUCUCUAAGUUGUUUAUGUAUUUUAUAUUGUUUUCGGUUUUACUAUCUUUGGUAGCAUUGUCUAUACAAGAUUGUUUUGCUCAAGAUGUGGUAGUAAAGUUACUUACGCGUGCCUUGAGCGAGUCUUGCAACAGAAAUUACUUGCAGACACUAACGCAUAUUUUGCGGCAGAUCUGCGCAAGAAGUCUCAUAUACUAUACACAAUCUAUCUUUCUUCUGUCUCUGCCACUUUAUCCUCUCCAUUGGCAUACGGUACAGGAUCCUUAGGUAAAGUGACAGAAAUAGAAGUGAGAUAUGAAGUUGGUGUAAUAUGAAAAACUUGAUUGAUAUCGUUGUAAUCGUGUGUUUUUUUAUGUAUAUGAAUAUCACCUAUAUUAUAAGCCUCAAAUAUAAUUUUUAUAUAUUGACCAGAGUCAGCACUUGGACUCAGCAAAACCUACCAACUUAUUGUUAAAAAAAUGGAUUCUAUAACAAUGUCCAAGUUAACUGUUGUUCUAUUAUUGGUUACAUUGUUGGCGAUUGGCUCGUUUGCUUGCAUAGAUCAUGGAGAAGAUUGUACUAUGGAUGGCGAAAAAUGUUGUUCUCCCUAUUUUUGCAGAAAAAAUGAUUUCAACUAUUUGACAUGUGGCGCGACCGCCGAUUCCUUUGAAGUACAGGAUUGCGCAGGUGGCAUACUUGGCUAAGUCUACUUCUUAAUUUUUUUAUUUCAGAUAUAAUAAUAGUUAUUAAUAUUGUAAUGGUUAUCAUCUGAAUAAAAAUAAUUCCCACCA
Molecule: long non-coding RNA, 1263 nt
Organism: Microplitis mediator
Lineage: Eukaryota; Metazoa; Arthropoda; Insecta; Hymenoptera; Braconidae
Exons: 6
Source: RefSeq, a predicted model, not a curated record